CCUACGGGAGGCAGCAGUGAGGAAUAUUGGUCAAUGGCCGAGAGGCUGAACCAGCCAAGUCGCGUGAGGGAAGACGGCCCUACGGGUUGUAAACCUCUUUUGUCGGGGAGCAAAGCGAGUCACGUGUGACUCAUUGAGAGUACCCGAAGAAAAAGCAUCGGCUAACUCCGUGCCAGCAGCCGCGGUAAUACGGAGGAUGCGAGCGUUAUCCGGAUUUAUUGGGUUUAAAGGGUGCGUAGGCGGACGCUUAAGUCAGCGGUAAAAUUGCGGGGCUCAACCUCGUCGAGCCGUUGAAACUGGGUGCCUUGAGUGGGCGAGAAGUACGCGGAAUGCGUGGUGUAGCGGUGAAAUGCAUAGAUAUCACGCAGAACUCCGAUUGCGAAGGCAGCGUACCGGCGCCCAACUGACGCUGAAGCACGAAGGCGUGGGUAUCGAACAGGAUUAGAUACCCUUUAGUC
Molecule: ribosomal RNA, 458 nt
Filed under: uncultured bacterium
Lineage: Bacteria
Description: partial 16S ribosomal RNA
Rfam family: Bacterial small subunit ribosomal RNA
Source: RNAcentral